Molecule: long non-coding RNA, 329 nt
Filed under: Panax ginseng (ginseng)
Lineage: Eukaryota; Viridiplantae; Streptophyta; Magnoliopsida; Apiales; Araliaceae
Description: long non-coding RNA (PGIN_LNC010067)
Source: RNAcentral
UUGUUUCUUAGAUAAAAUAGCUUUCAUAAACUUGAUGUGCAACUUCUUAAAGACUUUAAUGAAUUUGGCGAACUGGUUCUUCAGGUUUUGACUUUGUAAUAGUUGAAGAAAAGGUACAGGAAAUACCACUGAACUUUGUUUUUCUUCUUCCGAGCUCACCUCUUGACUUUCAUCUUGUUUCUUCUCCUCGCCUUUAUUCUCAAAGCCUAUUCCCAUGUAGCUAGUCACCUUCUUUUGAUUCUCGGCAUUCGUCCCCUUUAACUCCUUUAACAUUACACUGUUCAUUUCCAUCGUUACUUGGAUUGGCUUCCAUGUUACUUGAUAUGCUC